CAGUCGCCGCGGGAAUACGUAGGUCCCGAGCGUUGUCCGGAAUUACUGGGCGUAAAGCGUGCGCAGGCGGUUUCUUAAGUCUGAUGUGAGAGCCCCCGGCUCAACCGGGGAGGGUCAUUGGAAACUGGGGAACUUGAGUGCAGAAGAGGAGAGUGGAAUUCCACGUGUAGCGGUGAAAUGCGUAGAGAUGUGGAGGGACACCAGUGGCGAAGGCGGCUCUCUGGUCUGUAACUGACGCUGAGGAGCGAAAGCGUGGGGAGCGAGCAGGAUUAGAUACCCCAGUAGUCCCUGUCUCUUAUAC
RNAcentral lists this ribosomal RNA (301 nucleotides) under uncultured bacterium. RNAcentral's name for it is "partial 16S ribosomal RNA". It matches the Rfam family "Bacterial small subunit ribosomal RNA", at positions 509 to 807 of the family's 1533-position model. The record is from RNAcentral.